UGGAAGACCAUAUCUCGAAUUCAGUCUCC
Molecule: non-coding RNA, 29 nt
Filed under: Mus musculus (house mouse)
Lineage: Eukaryota; Metazoa; Chordata; Mammalia; Rodentia; Muridae
Source: RNAcentral